RNAcentral lists this ribosomal RNA (798 nucleotides) under uncultured Proteiniphilum sp. RNAcentral's name for it is "bacterial SSU rRNA". It matches the Rfam family "Bacterial small subunit ribosomal RNA", at positions 8 to 795 of the family's 1533-position model. The record is from RNAcentral. Lineage: Bacteria; Pseudomonadati; Bacteroidota; Bacteroidia; Bacteroidales; Dysgonomonadaceae.
AGAGUUUGAUUAUGGCUCAGGAUGAACGCUAGCGAUAGGCCUAACACAUGCAAGUCGAGGGGCAGCACAUGAAGUAGCAAUACGGAUGGUGGCGACCGGCGCACGGGUGAGUAACGCGUAUGCAACCUGCCUACAACAGGGGAAUAACCCGUUGAAAGACGGACUAAUACCCCAUAACACAGGGAUCCCGCAUGGGAAUAUUUGUUAAAGAUUUAUCGGUUGUAGAUGGGCAUGCGUUCCAUUAGCUUGUUGGUGAGGUAACGGCUCACCAAGGCAACGAUGGAUAGGGGAACUGAGAGGUUUAUCCCCCACACUGGUACUGAGACACGGACCAGACUCCUACGGGAGGCAGCAGUGAGGAAUAUUGGUCAAUGGACGCAAGUCUGAACCAGCCACGUCGCGUGAAGGAAGACGGCCCUACGGGUUGUAAACUUCUUUUGUAAGGGAAUAAAGUGUAGUACGUGUACUAUUCUGCAUGUACCUUACGAAUAAGGAUCGGCUAACUCCGUGCCAGCAGCCGCGGUAAUACGGAGGAUCCGAGCGUUAUCCGGAUUUAUUGGGUUUAAAGGGUGCGCAGGCGGGAGAUUAAGUCGGCGGUGAAAUUUUGCAGCUCAACUGUAAAAGUGCCUUCGAAACUGGUUCUCUUGAGUGUGGAUGAAGUAGGCGGAAUUUGUGGUGUAGCGGUGAAAUGCAUAGAUAUCACGAGGAACUCCGAUUGCGCAGGCAGCUUACUAAACCAUAACUGACGCUCAGGCACGAAGGCGUGGGGAUCAAACAGGAUUAGAUACCCUGGUAGUC